This 331-nucleotide unclassified non-coding RNA is filed under the name soil metagenome. RNAcentral's name for it is "partial contains 5.8S ribosomal RNA, internal transcribed spacer 2, and large subunit ribosomal RNA". The stretch from base 1 to 120 matches the Rfam family "5.8S ribosomal RNA", at positions 35 to 154 of the family's 154-position model. The record is from RNAcentral.
GAUGAAGAACGUAGUGAAAUGCGAUACGUAAUGUGAAUUGCAGAUUUCAGUGAAUCAUCGAAUCUUUGAACGCACAUUGCGCCCGCUAGUAUUCUGGCGGGCAUGCCUGUUCGAGCGUCAUUUCAACCAUCAAGCCCCCGGCUUGCGUUGGAGCCCUGCGGCUGCCGCAGGCUCCCAAAUCUAGUGGCGGGCUCGUCGUCGUACCGAGUGCAGUAAACAUCCUCGCUCAGGGAACGCGUCGGGUUCUUGCCGUGAAACCCCCCCAUAUCAAGGUUGACCUCGGAUCAGGUAGGAAUACCCGCUGAACUUAAGCAUAUCAAUAAGCGGAGGA